This 769-nucleotide ribosomal RNA is filed under the name uncultured bacterium. Its description in RNAcentral is "bacterial SSU rRNA". It matches the Rfam family "Bacterial small subunit ribosomal RNA", at positions 28 to 776 of the family's 1533-position model. The record is from RNAcentral.
GACGAACGCUGGCGGCGUGCCUAAUACAUGCAAGUCGAGCGAAGUUUUUCUGGUGCUUGCACUAGAAAAACUUAGCGGCGAACGGGUGAGUAACACGUAAAGAACCUGCCUCAUAGACGGGGACAACUAUUGGAAACGAUAGCUAAUACCGGAUAACAGCAUAAAUCGCAUGAUAUAUGUUUAAAAGUUGGUUUCGGCUAACACUAUGAGAUGGCUUUGCGGUGCAUUAGCUAGUUGGUGGGGUAAAGGCCUACCAAGGCGACGAUGCAUAGCCGACCUGAGAGGGUGAUCGGCCACACUGGGACUGAGACACGGCCCAGACUCCUACGGGAGGCAGCAGUAGGGAAUCUUCCGCAAUGGGCGAAAGCCUGACGGAGCAACGCCGCGUGAGUGAAGAAGGAUUUCGGUUCGUAAAGCUCUGUUGUUAGGGAAGAAUGAUUGUAUAGUAACUAUAUACAGUAGAGACGGUACCUAACCAGAAAGCCACGGCUAACUACGUGCCAGCAGCCGCGGUAAUACGUAGGUGGCAAGCGUUGUCCGGAAUUAUUGGGCGUAAAGCGCGCGCAGGUGGUUUAAUAAGUCUGAUGUGAAAGCCCACGGCUCAACCGUGGAGGGUCAUUGGAAACUGUUAAACUUGAGUGCAGGAGAGAAAAGUGGAAUUCCUAGUGUAGCGGUGAAAUGCGUAGAGAUUAGGAGGAACACCAGUGGCGAAGGCGGCUUUUUGGCCUGUAACUGACACUGAGGCGCGAAAGCGCGGGGAGCAAACAGG